CAGCCGCCGCGGGAAUACGUAGGUGGCAAGCGUUGUCCGGAAUUAUUGGGCGUAAAGGGCUCGCAGGCGGUUUCUUAAGUCUGAUGUGAAAGCCCCCGGCUCAACCGGGGAGGGUCAUUGGAAACUGGGAAACUUGAGUGCAGAAGAGGAGAGUGGAAUUCCACGUGUAGUGGUGAAAUGCGUAGAGAUGUGGAGGAACACCAGUGGCGAAGGCGACUCUCUGGUCUGUAACUGACGCUGAGGAGCGAAAGCGUGGGGAGCGAACAGGAUUAGAUACCCGAGUAGUCCCUGUCUCUUAUAC
Molecule: ribosomal RNA, 301 nt
Filed under: uncultured bacterium
Lineage: Bacteria
Description: partial 16S ribosomal RNA
Rfam family: Bacterial small subunit ribosomal RNA
Source: RNAcentral